GUCAUCCCCAAGAGAGGCUCAGAAUGCCAGAAGGACCGUGGUGAUCCUGUGCAGGCCGGCUCGCCGGGCCCAGCCUCGGGCUCCUUGCCUGUAAGAUGGAGAGGCAUAGCCGCAGCCCCUGGGUACCGCCCACCGUCCACCGGUACCCCCUGCAGCACAGGGGGCGCUGCAGCAAUGAAGGCUGGGCCCACUCACACCAAUCCUUUAACACGCAUCGGUCUUGACUUCAAGCGUGAAGCAGAGCACAGAGACAGGCAGGCUUUUGACCCAGACAGAGCGCAUCUUCCAAUACACUGUCCUAGAUGAGUCACCUUGGGAGGCCUCAUCAGUCCUCCCACCUUACUGCACAGGAGUGUCAGAGCCUUCCUGUGAGCAUGUUCCUGGAACAGAUGACCCUAUUUUCAUAAAGCUUGUCCUAGCAAGCCUUCUCCACGGCAAAAGAAAAGCUAACUGGGACUUAGACACCGGGUCAAAGACUCCUUGGCUGGUACCCUUGGCAAAAUGCAGAUCCUGGAUUCUCGGGGAGUGCCCCAACUCAGGCCUCCGGGUCUGUUUCACGAGCAAACUCCCAGUCCCAUCUCUCAGGGGGUCUGUGAAGUGUGCCUUCUGGUUCAGAGUGCUGGCCGAGCAGCAUAACCCAGGCCUCCACGUCCAGCCCUGAGGACACAGUCAUUCUGGAGGGUGUGCUGUUUAACAUUGAAAUGUCCUUUGGCAAUGGAAGUGCUGCCUCCGACUGGCCCUGUCUACCGAAGCCUUGUGUUAGAAACCCCUGUGUUCGUAACCGGUGGCUUAGUCUGGAAAAGAGGUAUAAUUUAAGUGUAAUUCUACACUGGCUUUUCAAGUCCUCCCAGGAAGAGAAC
This 860-nucleotide long non-coding RNA is filed under the name Ursus maritimus (polar bear). RNAcentral describes it as "lncRNA (ENSUMAG00000024669.1)". The record is from RNAcentral. Lineage: Eukaryota; Metazoa; Chordata; Mammalia; Carnivora; Ursidae.